RNAcentral lists this ribosomal RNA (1429 nucleotides) under uncultured Bordetella sp. Its description in RNAcentral is "partial 16S-23S ribosomal RNA intergenic spacer". It matches the Rfam family "Bacterial small subunit ribosomal RNA". The record is from RNAcentral. Lineage: Bacteria; Pseudomonadati; Pseudomonadota; Betaproteobacteria; Burkholderiales; Alcaligenaceae.
AGUCGAACGGCAGCACGGACUUCGGUCUGGUGGCGAGUGGCGAACGGGUGAGUAAUGUAUCGGAACGUGCCUAGUAGCGGGGGAUAACUGCCGAAAGCGUAGCUAAUACCGCAUACGCUCCUUCGGGGGAAAGCGGGGACCUUCGGGCCUCGCACUAUUAGAGCGGCCGAUAUCGAGCUGCUAGCUGGUGGGGUAACGGCUCACCAAGGCGACGAUCCGUAGCUGGUUUGAGAGGACGACCAGCCACACUGGGACUGAGACACGGCCCAGACUCCUACGGAGGCAGCAGUGGGAAUUGGGACAAUGGGGGAAACCCUGAUCCAGCCAUCCCGCGUGUGUGCGAUGAAGGCCUUCGGGUUGUAAAGCACUUUUGGUGCAGGAAAGAAACGGCACGGGAUAAUACCCUCGUGCAUUUGACGGUACCUGCAGAAUAAGCACCGGCUAACUACGUGCCAGCAGCCGCGGUAAUACGUAGGUGCAAGCGUUAAUCGGAAUUACUGGGCGUAAAGCGUAUGCAGGGCAAGCCCGAAAAAGAAAGAUGUGAAAUCCCAGAGCUUUUAACUUUGGAACUGCAUUUUUAACUACUGAGCUAGAGUGUGUCAGAGGGAGGUGGAAUUCCUGCGUGUAGCAAGUGAAAUGCGUAGAUAUGCGGAGGAACACCGAUGGCGAAGGCAGCUCUCUGGGAUAACACUGACGCUCAUGCACGAAAGCGUGGAGCAACAGGAUUAGAUACCCUGGUAGUCCACGCCCUAAACGAUGUCAACUAGCUGUUGGGGCCUUUCUGGCCUGGUAGCGCAGUGCUAACGCGUGAAGUUGACCGCCUGGGGAGUACGGUCGCAAGAUUAAAACCAAAGGAAUUGACGGGGACCCGCACAAGCGGUGGAUGAGCGUGGAUUAAUUCGAUGCAACGCGAAAAACCUUACCUACCCUUGACAUGUCUGAAUCCCGAAGAGAUUUGGGAGUGCUCGCAAGAGAACUGGAACACAGGUACGUGGCUGUCGUCAGCUCGUGUCGUGAGAUGUUGGGUUAAGUCCCGCAACGAUGGCAACCUUGUCAUUAGUUGCUACGAAAGGGCACUCUAAUGAGACUGCCGGUGACAAACCGGAGGAAGGUGAUGACGUCAAGUCCUCAUGGCCCUUGCGGGUAGGGCUUCACACGUCAUACAAUGGUCGGGACAGAGGGUCGCCAACCCGCGAGGGGGAGCCAAUCCCAGAAACCCGAUCGUAGUCCGGAUCGUGUCUGCAACUCGACUGCGUGAAGUCGGAAUCGCUAGUAAUCGCGGAUCAGCAUGUCGCGGUGAAUACGUUCGGCCUUGUACACACUGCCCGUCACACCAUGGGAGUGGGUUUUACCAGAAGUAGUUAGCCUAACCGUAAGGAGGGCGAUUACCACGGUAGGAUUCAUGACUGGGGUGAAGUCGUAACAAGGU